CCUACGGGAGGCAGCAGUAGGGAAUAUUGGACAAUGGGUGCGAGCCUGAUCCAGCCAUGCCGCGUGCAGGAAGAAGGCCUUCUGGGUUGUAAACUGCUUUUGCCGGGGGAUAAAAGACCCAUGCGUGGGGAAUUGAAGGUACCCGGUGAAUAAGCCACGGCUAACUACGUGCCAGCAGCCGCGGUAAUACGUAGGUGGCGAGCGUUGUCCGGAUUUAUUGGGUUUAAAGGGUGCGUAGGCGGCCCCGUAAGUCAGUGGUGAAAUACGGCAGCUCAACUGUCGAGGUGCCAUUGAUACUGCGGGGCUUGAGUACAGUCGAGGUAGGCGGAAUUGACGGUGUAGCGGUGAAAUGCUUAGAUAUCGUCAAGAACACCGAUAGCGAAGGCAGCUUGCUAGGCUGUAACUGACGCUGAGGCACGAAAGUGCGGGGAUCAAACAGGAUUAGAUACCCUGGUAGUCCGCACAGUAAACGAUGGUCACUCGGUGUUGGCGGUACACGGCCAGCGCCUUAGCGAAAGCGUUAAGUGACCACCUGGGGAGUACGCCGCAAGGGUGAAACUCAAAGGAAUUGACGGCGUGNGAGNGCGAGGACGACGACGAGGGAGGAGG
RNAcentral lists this ribosomal RNA (609 nucleotides) under uncultured bacterium. RNAcentral's name for it is "bacterial SSU rRNA". It matches the Rfam family "Bacterial small subunit ribosomal RNA", at positions 338 to 951 of the family's 1533-position model. The record is from RNAcentral.